GAUGAACGCUGGCGGCGUGCCUAAUACAUGCAAGUCGAGCGAACGGACGAGAAGCUUGCUUCUCUGAUGUUAGCGGCGGACGGGUGAGUAACACGUGGAUAACCUACCUAUAAUACUGGGAUAACUUCGGGAAACCGGAGCUAAUACCGGAUGAUAUUUUGUACCGCAUGGUUCAAAAGUGAAAGACGGUCUUGCUGUCACUUAUAGAUGUAUCCGCGCUGCAUUAGCUAGUUGGUAAGGUAACGGCUUACCAAGGCAACGAUGCAUAGCCGACCUGAGAGGGUGAUCGGCCACACUGGAACUGAGACACGGUCCAGACUCCUACGGGAGGCAGCAGUAGGGAAUCUUCCGCAAUGGGCGAAAGCCUGACGGAGCAACGCCGCGUGAGUGAUGAAGGUCUUCGGAUCGUAAAACUCUGUUAUUAGGGAAGAACAUAUGUGUAAGUAACUGUGCACAUCUUGACGGUACCUAAUCAGAAAGCCACGGCUAACUACGUG
RNAcentral lists this ribosomal RNA (497 nucleotides) under uncultured bacterium. Its description in RNAcentral is "partial 16S ribosomal RNA". It matches the Rfam family "Bacterial small subunit ribosomal RNA", at positions 28 to 507 of the family's 1533-position model. The record is from RNAcentral.